UUUACUCCACGACCUAGACCAGUUCAUCCACUAACUCGUCCCGCUGCAUCAAGGCAUAAGGCUUUGCAACCCCUACCUAGAGUUAGCGUUUUCCGUUAGAUCAAGGCCUAAGGCUUUUCAACCCGUACCUCGACCUAACGUUGUGUUAGACCGGACUAGUCAAACAUCAGAGUUCUCAUGAAGCGCAUAUAAAACAAUUACUUUUAUUGAUUUAAGAAAUAUUCAUACAUUGUAUAAUUCAAGACUGGGCCCGACCUAAUGCCAAAUCGAGUCAACAUAACACAAUUCACAAUACCGUUUACAAAAGGCAUGAAAAUCUACACCGGCGGUCCUAAUGUCCAGCACCAAGCUAUCCGAUCAUCCUUACCUAAAGCGACCUGCAAAAAGGACAACGGAGUUGGAUGAGUAAUCUAGUAUUACUCAGUGAGCUGGCGGCCUCUACCCACAACCUAGACUCUACCCAGACAACCCAAAAUAACAAUCAAUCUAGCCCUAGCAUGCAAUAAACGCUAAGGCUAAGCAAACCGUUACUAAGUUAGACUUGGCCUCCUGCCAUGAUCUAGCCUCAAUUAACGGGAACCUGCAUUAAAACAAGUCAACAAACAAUCCCUAGUUAACCAUAUAUACGCCUGAGUUCAAUACUCAUGUAGUGUUAGACACUUAGACUAUGCAAGUAUCAUUAAUCGAUCGACCAACAAUAAAACAAGAACAUGAUCGGCCAACCAAUGAUACCGCAUAGCUUUAAUAUCCACCACCCUUCACAAGCAAUCACUCAAACACAUACAGGCCAACGUCAGGCCUACACUAACGAAAUACACAUCAAGCCUAAUCCGGUACCUAAACCAGACUUAGGACUUAAUGUCAUAACCUGCAAGCAAAUCAAUCAACCACAAUCACAAUAAUAACUAUGAGUAUCACGACUCGAUCUAACUAGUAACACCGUAUAUCGGUGCUACACUGACUCGAGGGUUCCAUAACCCUCUACGACACUCUAACACAACACAACACACUACCCCCGGAAAUGGUGACUUAGUGUUCAUCCUCUCUAUUGGCAAUAUCCUAUCUUCCUACCACAAAGGCCAGAAGAAGGAACUUUCAACCGACCGCGGCCCACAGUCCUUCGGGUCACCGCGCGACAGCCCACAGUCCUUCGGGUCACUGCCACAUUACACCGUCGUGUAAUCAGUCAGCCAUAGGCCAUGAUCCCGUCUCUCUGAGUCUUCCCGAUCCAGCGAAUAAGGGGUUUCCUUAAACCCGCUGGGUACGAGGCUGAGGAAACACUAAUCACCCCUAAACAAGCCUAGUAUGGACGAGUUACACUCAUACUGUCGGCACACUCACAUAACACAAACUCAAUCUAGAACCUAACAUAAUGAUAAAGUUCUAGACACUAACCAGACACUCGACUCUACAACACAAACCAAUAGUACCAGUAGUCCGGCCUAUAUGGCUUAAGACCCUGAGUACUAAUAACUAAACAAUAAUAUCGAUACUAAACAACUCAAUCAAACCGUUACCCAGAUAGUCCAGCCUCCCGCUGAGAAACUAUUUUUAAAGAUAACGGGAACCUGCACUCAACCAUAUCAACACGCAAGAAUAGAAAACAUGAUGCAUCCUAUUCUUAGUCCUAAUCAGGUUAUCAACUCAGUCUUAAUUCCAUUCAUCUCAGCUUAGCCCUUGCUAAACUGAGUACGGUUCCAUGAAUAAAAUAACCCUAAGGACUCUACCAUUCAAUAGUGUGAUCAUUCUACUCUAUAUGCGACUCGAUCUACCCUAAAUUCCAAGUGGAAUUCAAACAAACCAACUCACAGUGUUCUUGCAGCUGGUUGAUCGGAGAGAGCCUAGCCAAAACCCAAUGCCUCUGUCUUCAAUGGACUGGUAUGGACGAAUCAGGACUUGGACAGAACCUCCUCGGACUUCUGGAUCUUCUUCUCGGACUUUCGGUAGAACAAUGGCUCUUAAAAAUGCUCUAACUUCUUCAAAACAGCUCCAAAUCCUUCACUUCCUUUUUCUACUUCACUUUCUCUCUCUAGCCCAAGUUUUAGAGUGAUGUUUGAGUGUGUGGAAUGAAUGAAACGAGCUGGGGGAGCUGGGUUUAUAUAGAUAUGGCCAACCAUUGAAAUGGUGCCACUCCAUCGCCUGUGUGUCAUCCCGCAUGCUUCCGGUCGCAUGCGCGGCGACACACGGGCGUCCAAAUGUCACCAUGCAUGACUCCUCUGCAUGCCAGAAGCCAGCACCACGUCCAGAUGUCAUUCAGCAUGGCUGGAGCUCAUGCAUCGCGACACACGGGCCUCUGGGUGUCAAGACGAUGCCAUGUCGUGCUUUGGGUGUCAUGCUGCAUGUGAGGCUUCUUCCUGCGGAGACAUGUCGUGCUACAGAGACACUAAGAUGCUUGGAUGAAGGACAGCACGUCCUGAUCCCUCAGAUAGGGCCACCUCGAGCUUCCCGGUUGAUUUGUGCGAUUUCGGUCUUUCUGGUGAAUUUUCGUCCCGCGAUCAAUCCCGAAUAUUUUUCCGCUCCCGUUCUGAUUCUCUAAAUAUUUUUAAUAAACUCCAGAUGAAUACUGAGAUCCUCUAAAAAUAUUUCCCGAGCCUCCGGCUUUUUCCAAUAAUUUCGAAAAACCGAAAUUAGGGAGCUUUUUCUAAUAAUUUCGAAAAACCGAAAUUAGGGUUUUCGACCAACUUCGGGUUUUCCCGUCAUGCUUGCUUCCCGUCCUGCUUACUCCCGUCAUGCUUCCAAAUUAUAAUAUCUCUGAAAUAAUAUUCUGAUGAUAGAUGUGAAGUUUCGCGGAAAACUUAGUGGCUAAGAAAUGUCGUGUUUCUGAAACGUCGAGCUUCAACCGUCGUGCUUCCAAAAAUGUGAUUCUUCCAAAAUCUUCGUCUGAUCAAUCUAAGACUCUUCUAAGAAAGGUAGAGCAGCUUAAUAUGUCUCAUGGUUCACUCACGAUCCAUUCUUCGACCACAUCCUACUUCGAACUUCUCGGUUGGCCCGUACCGCCCGCGGUUCGAUCAUCAAGUUGAUGCUCGACCAAUCUUCUGUCUUCUCCGAACCAUGUUAAGUUUUGUGUGAUCAAAACUCAACAUUACUCCAAAUAUGUAAUCUCCCAAAAGCUUGGCUCCAGAUUCUGACUUUCCCUUGCUCGAUCAUUUUAUCCCGAAGGGCGGGUUAUCACAUUCUUCCCCCCUUAAUAGAAUUCGUCCUCGAAUUCUUAGUUGUCCAAUGGCUCAGCUUCACGACAUGUUCAUCCCCUUGAUGAAAAUUUCUCCUUGGAUCACUUGUCUCGCGGUCUUGAUCACUUGAUGUGCUUCUUUAUCGGUUUGCCCUUGGUUUCCUCCAUUCGGUUUCUCUGGUCUCCACCCAAACUUCUGGUUCUGAACUCACUCCGUCUUGAUACAUCUCAAAGCAUUCCUUUAGUCUUGAAUCCGUCCUUCACUUCUUGAUUUCCCAUGCUUCACUCAUUCUUAACUCAUCUCCAUAUCGCUUUACUCUCAUGCGGAAUUCAUCUUCAUAUUGCUUCACCGUAUCUACUGCUCUCCCAUGAGUCUCCUUCUCAAAGUUGCCACAAAACUCCUCACUUGAUGAAUACUGAAUCGUCUUCUUGCAUUUACUCUACCAUAAGGCGCACCAUCUUUGCUUCUGAUCACUGAAACCUUUCUUUUCCCAAAACUGAUGAAGUCCUUUCUCAACGAAGUCUUGCUCAUACUUGUCCAGUCCAUACCACUGUCCAGUCCCUCUGAAUCUCUCUCUCUUCACUUUGGGUUUUUAGCCUUGAACUCUUUUCACUUUAAGGUUUCCAUUCCUUAAAGUUCCGAUCAACGAACACACAAGCUGCAACUCAAAAGAACACUUCACAUGCAAGUUAGUAGACAAUUAAUCAAAUAAUCUACUAACCCAGCAAAUACUAACAAUUCAACCUAACCGCAAUUCUAACCAGAAACCUAACAGUUCUACCCAAGCAACCUAACAGUUCUAGAUUCCACUAUCUCAAUCCUAAUUCCUAAAACCACAAAUCCUAUCGCUGGACGUGACCGGUUUCCCUAAUGCCUUUUGUGACUCAAUUUGACUUGAUAAAUAUUUAAAACCGAUUAAAUCAUGAGUUCCGGAAGCAUGGACGAAACCAUGCUCUGAUACCACCUCUGUAACACCCCCGAACCGUCCUAGACAUAUGGUCGAUCAACCGGCCAACAAUCAAACAAGAACAUGACCGAUCGACCGUCCAAUACCCAGGGUUGGAGGUGAAAGGCCAACCGGCCAGCCAACAAUCAAACAAGAACAUGACUGACCGUCCAACCCAACACCAUGGUCCGGAAGCGCUACGUGACGGGCUAGGGACAAUCCGGUCAGAGUCACAAACUUUACUCCACGACCUAGACCAGUUCAUCCACUAACUCGUCCCGCUGCGUCAAGGCAUAAGGCUUUGCAACCCGUACCUAGAGUUAGCGUUUUCCGUUAGAUCAAGGCCUAAGGCUUUUCAACCCGUACCUCGACCUAACGUUGUGUUAGACCGAACUAGUCAAAUAUCAGAGUACUCAUGAAGCGCAUAUAAAACAAUUACUUUUAUUGAUUCAAGAAAUAUUCAUACAUUGAAUAAUUCAAGACUGGGCCCGGCCUAAUGCCAAAUCAAGUCAACAUAACACAAUUCACAAUACCGUUUACAAAAGGCAUGAAAAUCUACACCGGCGGUCCUAACGUCCAGCACCAAGCUAUCCGAUCAUCCUUACCUAAAGCGACCUGCAAAAAGGACAACAGAGUUGGAUGAGUAAUCUAGUAUUACUCAGUGAGCUGGCGGCCUCUACCCGCAACCUAGACUCUACCCAGACAACCCAAAAUAACAAUCAAUCUAGCCCUAGCAUGCAAAAAAAGCUAAGGCUAAGCAAACCGUUACUAAGUUAGACUUGGCCUCCUGCCAUGAUCUAGCUUCAAGUAACGGGAACCUGCAUUAAAACAGGUCAACAAACAAUCCCUAGUUAACCAUAUAUACGCCUGAGUUCAAUACUCAUGUAGUGUUAGACACUUAGACUAUGCAAGUAUCAUUAAUCGAUCGACCAACAAUCAAACAAGAACAUGAUCGGCCAACCAAUGAUACCGCAUAGCCUUAAUAUCCACCACCCUUCACAAGCAAUCACUCAAACACAUACAGGCCAACGUCAGGCCUACACUAACGAAAUACACAUCAAGCCUAAUCCGGUACCUAAACCAGACUUAAGACUUAAUGUCAUAACCUGCAAGCAAAUCAAUCAACCACAAUCACAAUAAUAACUAUGAGUAUCACGACUCGAUCUAACUAGUAACACCGUAUAUCAGUGCUACACUGACUCGAGGGUUCCAUAACCCUCUACGACACUCUAACACAACACAACACACUACCCCGGGAAAUGGUGACUUAGUGUUCAUCCUCUCUAUCGGCAAUAUCCUAUCUUCCUACCACAAAGGCCAGAAGAAGGAACUUUCAACUGACCGCGGCCCACAGUCCUUCAGGUCACCGCGCGACAGCCCACAGUCCUUCGGGUAACUGCCACAUUACACCGUCGUGUAAUCACUCAGCCAUAGGCCAUGAUCCCGUCUCUCUGAGUCUUCCCGAUCCAACGAAUAAGGGGUUUCCUUAAACCCGCUGGGUACGAGGCUGAGGAAACACUAAUCACCCCUAAACAAGCCUAGUAUGGACGGGUUACGCUCAUACUGUCGGCUACAACACACUAAUCCUAAUAAGACCAGGACUCCUACCACAAACUUAAAUACACUAAGGAGUCUAUGACACUAACACCAGUACUCGUAGUCCAGCCUAUAUGGCAUAGGGCUCGUAGUACCAACACCACAACAAGGAGAUUGGCCUAUAUGGCCAAAGAUCCCCUGAACAACAGCAACUAAACAAC
RNAcentral lists this long non-coding RNA (5873 nucleotides) under Brassica napus (rape). Its description in RNAcentral is "long non-coding RNA (BNAP_LNC009616)". Lineage: Eukaryota; Viridiplantae; Streptophyta; Magnoliopsida; Brassicales; Brassicaceae. The record is from RNAcentral.